RNAcentral lists this ribosomal RNA (694 nucleotides) under Steinernema sp. ePYO8.5_TH. Its description in RNAcentral is "partial large subunit ribosomal RNA". It matches the Rfam family "Eukaryotic large subunit ribosomal RNA", at positions 159 to 851 of the family's 3401-position model. The record is from RNAcentral. Lineage: Eukaryota; Metazoa; Nematoda; Chromadorea; Rhabditida; Steinernematidae.
GAGGCGUUCAUGUGCGGUUUGUUGAUGGUGCGAAUUUCUCUUUGACUAGGGAUCCAAAGAGGGUGCUAGACCCUUACGCAUUGUUGACUUUUCGUACGCGUUCGUUUCUUGGAGUAGGGUUGUUUUGGAUCGCAGCCCAAAGUAGGUGGUAUACUUCAUCUAAAGCUAAAUACGACUACGAAUCCGAUAGCAAACAAGUACCGUGAGGGAAAGUUGCAAAGUACUUUGAAGAGAGAGUUCAAGAGGACGUGAAACCGGUAGGGUGGAAGCAGAUAAAGUUGACGAACGUGUGUCGUAUUCAGAACUACAAUUUGUGGUUUGUUUUUACGAUCGAUGUGGGCUGGCGUCUUUGGUUAACUUAGUGUCUGGCGGCAAUGGUGACCCUGCGGAGGGAUAAUCGGUUGUCGUGCGAUGCUUGGUAUGGCUAGAGGUUCGCUGGUCUUAUAGUCAUCGCUUUAUCUGACCCGUCUUGAAACACGGACCAAGGAGUGUAGCGCUUACGCGAGUCUUAGAGUGUGUCAAAACUUUGAGGCGUAACGAAAGUAAAUGUGGAUUUAUUCACUGACUUGGGAUGCGUUGUCUUUUUUGGAUAGCGUUGGACCAUGGUUUUAUCGUAAUCGCUUGCGAUGCGGUGAAAAUAGAGCGUAAGCGGUGCGACCCGAAAGAUGGUGAACUAUGCCUGAGCAGGAUGAAG